UACGUAGGGUGCAAGCGUUGUCCGGAAUUAUUGGGCGUAAAGAGCUCGUAGGCGGUUUGUCGCGUCUGGUGUGAAAAUCCAGGGCUUAACCCUGGACCUGCAUCGGGUACGGGCAGACUAGAGUGCGGUAGGGGAGAUCGGAAUUCCUGGUGUAGCGGUGAAAUGCGCAGAUAUCAGGAGGAACACCGGUGGCGAAGGCGGGUCUCUGGGCCGAAACUGACGCUGAGGAGCGAAAGCGUGGGGAGCAAACAGG
RNAcentral lists this ribosomal RNA (253 nucleotides) under uncultured bacterium. Its description in RNAcentral is "partial 16S ribosomal RNA". It matches the Rfam family "Bacterial small subunit ribosomal RNA", at positions 524 to 776 of the family's 1533-position model. The record is from RNAcentral.